This 82-nucleotide transfer RNA is filed under the name Komagataeibacter rhaeticus. RNAcentral describes it as "tRNA-Leu". It matches the Rfam family "tRNA". From Rfam's summary of the family: Transfer RNA (tRNA) molecules are approximately 80 nucleotides in length. Their secondary structure includes four short double-helical elements and three loops (D, anti-codon, and T loops). Further hydrogen bonds mediate the characteristic L-shaped molecular structure. tRNAs have two regions of fundamental functional importance: the anti-codon, which is responsible for specific mRNA codon recognition, and the 3' end, to which the tRNAs corresponding amino acid is attached (by aminoacyl-tRNA synthetases). tRNAs cope with the degeneracy of the genetic code in two manners: having more than one tRNA (with a specific anti-codon) for a particular amino acid; and 'wobble' base-pairing, i.e. permitting non-standard base-pairing at the 3rd anti-codon position. The record is from RNAcentral. Lineage: Bacteria; Pseudomonadati; Pseudomonadota; Alphaproteobacteria; Acetobacterales; Acetobacteraceae.
GCGAGAGUGACGGAACGGUAGACGUAGUCGACUCAAAAUCGACCGCCGCAAGGCAUGGGGGUUCAGAUCCCCUCUCGUACCA